UACGUAGGGUGCAAGCGUUAAUCGGAAUUACUGGGCGUAAAGCGUGCGCAGGCGGUUAUGCAAGACAGAUGUGAAAUCCCCGGGCUUAACCUGGGAACUGCAUUUGUGACUGCAUAGCUGGAGUACGGUAGAGGGGGAUGGAAUUCCGCGUGUAGCAGUGAAAUGCGUAGAUAUGCGGAGGAACACCGAUGGCGAAGGCAGUCCCCUGGACCUGUACUGACGCUCAUGCACGAAAGCGUGGGGAGCAAACAGGAUUAGAUACCCUGGUAGUCCACGCCCUAAACGAUGUCAACUGGUUGUUGGGAAGGUUUCUUCUCAGUAACGUAGCUAACGCGUGAAGUUGACCGCCUGGGGAGUACGGCCGCAAGGUUG
Molecule: ribosomal RNA, 372 nt
Filed under: uncultured prokaryote
Description: bacterial SSU rRNA
Rfam family: Bacterial small subunit ribosomal RNA
Source: RNAcentral